This 69-nucleotide transfer RNA is filed under the name Danionella cerebrum. RNAcentral's name for it is "tRNA-Gln". It matches the Rfam family "tRNA", at positions 5 to 66 of the family's 71-position model. Rfam says of the family: Transfer RNA (tRNA) molecules are approximately 80 nucleotides in length. The record is from RNAcentral. Lineage: Eukaryota; Metazoa; Chordata; Actinopteri; Cypriniformes; Danionidae.
GUCUAUGGUGUAAUGUUUAGCACGCUGGACUCUGAAUCUAGCAAUCUGAGUUCAAAUCUCGGUAGGACA